GACGAACGCUGGCGGCGUGCUUAACACAUGCAAGUCGAACGGAAAGGCCCUGCUUUUGUGGGGUGCUCGAGUGGCGAACGGGUGAGUAACACGUGAGUAACCUGCCCUUGACUUUGGGAUAACUUCAGGAAACUGGGGCUAAUACCGGAUAGGAGCUCCUGCUGCAUGGUGGGGGUUGGAAAGUUUCGGCGGUUGGGGAUGGACUCGCGGCUUAUCAGCUUGUUGGUGGGGUAGUGGCUUACCAAGGCUUUGACGGGUAGCCGGCCUGAGAGGGUGACCGGCGACAUUGGGACUGAGAGACGGCCCAGAGUCCUACGGGAGGCAGCAGUGGGGAAUAUUGCACAAUGGGCGGAAGCCUGAUGCAGCAACGCCGCGUGCGGGAUGACGGCCUUCGGGUUGUAAACCGCUUUCGCCUGUGACGAAGCGUGAGUGACGGUAAUGGGUAAAGAAGCACCGGCUAACUACGUG
RNAcentral lists this ribosomal RNA (468 nucleotides) under uncultured bacterium. RNAcentral's name for it is "partial 16S ribosomal RNA". It matches the Rfam family "Bacterial small subunit ribosomal RNA", at positions 28 to 507 of the family's 1533-position model. The record is from RNAcentral.